UGUUAAAUGUAGUUGCUGCUUGACUGGGA
This 29-nucleotide non-coding RNA is filed under the name Homo sapiens (human). The record is from RNAcentral. Lineage: Eukaryota; Metazoa; Chordata; Mammalia; Primates; Hominidae.